UUCCGAGUUGGCUAAUGGGUAGGCCCUAAAUUUUGGUAUUUACUGUCCAUGUUCGAAUCAUGGCUCGGGAA
This 71-nucleotide transfer RNA is filed under the name Clonostachys rosea f. rosea IK726. The record is from RNAcentral. Lineage: Eukaryota; Fungi; Ascomycota; Sordariomycetes; Hypocreales; Bionectriaceae.